Molecule: non-coding RNA, 21 nt
Filed under: Caenorhabditis elegans
Lineage: Eukaryota; Metazoa; Nematoda; Chromadorea; Rhabditida; Rhabditidae
Source: RNAcentral
UUAAAUUCCUCUCUUGCCAAC